This is a long non-coding RNA of Bos taurus (domestic cattle), 1419 nucleotides long. NCBI's taxonomy places the organism in Eukaryota, Metazoa, Chordata, Mammalia, Artiodactyla, Bovidae. The record is from Ensembl.
AGAAUGUGUACAGGAGGGGCCGUGAGGAAAGAUUAUUUUUGAAAGAGGCCAUUCAGGGAAUGCAAAGGGUUAACCUGCCCUCCUCCUGAAGAACCUGCUACCCAAAUCAGCCUCCUCUACAUCACCAGACCUAGAGCAGCAGUUGGUCCUACGGAUCCCCCUGCUCUCCACAGGCACAGCCCCAUCCCACUUCUAACUCUGUUUUAACCGCCUCCACCCCCACCUUGAGCUCCAGUGGAUGGUGGAGACCUAAACUCAUUCAUUUCCAGGUGGAGAAAAUGGAGGCGGGGCAGGUCCCUGCAGAGAAAGGAGGCCAAGAACUGGAUCUUCCUACCUAGGAAGGCUGCUAUGAUCAUCCCUUUUCCCCGCCCUGGGCAGGGGCCUGUCUCUACAAGGCCAAGGCCAUAAGGGAUGCUGAGGAUUUUAUUUGAUUCCUGACACAGUAAGCAAAACCUAAGAGUCUCCGCUGAAACUUGCUGAGGAGCUCUUUCAUCGCCAAAGCCUCAGCCUAGUCCACUCAGUCAAUUAGUAUUCAUGGACCCCUAGCCUUAUUUCCUCCCGAAUAUUUUUGUAGUACCUACUAUGUGCCAAUCAUUGGGUAAUUGUUGUAUCUUAGAUUCUUCCUUUGCCCUCCUAAGGGAGUGUCUGGAGUCAGGUGAGAUUAAGUUCACUGUGCCCCAUCUAGACACUUCCAGAACCUUCUUUGGGUCCGACAGAAAUGCACCAGAACCUGCUCACCCCUGCAGAGAGGAGACUGCAGUCCACAUCAUGCAAACUGCAAGCGCAAUGCUGUCCUUCAGAUCCCGGAAGGCCAGCCUGGCUGGAGGACAGAAGAGAAAGCAGCUUCUCUGGCCCCUGAGCCUUAGCCAGUGUUGUCUUAAGAGGCGCCCGCAGCCACUGCCUUCAAAAUAGUCCUCCCUCUAAACAGUCCCUCUUUGGUUCUCCUCUCCUUCCUCUGAGGGCUGCUCUGACAGUUCUUUGGGGCUGAUCUUAAGCCUCUGAUGACCAACCCUCGACCCCACAGUUGUUCACGUAAAUGAGCUUUAUCUCCCUAAUUGCUUCCCUGUAAUUCCAUCAGAUGUGGCCGUGCCCUCUGCUGAUGUGCCUGCUGCCAGCAUCUCCAGACGCCUUUCCCAAAGACCGCCCAGGCCCAGAACUCUAAGCAGAAAAGCAACUGAACUUUUAACAAAGGCAAAGAAGAGAGUCCUCCGGGGGCAGCUGUAAAGCCUUCUUCCUAGGACAGAUGGAACCACCCUUCCUCAGCUACUCUGUGGGUGGGUUUAGUGAGUCAAUAGGGGCUGAGGGAUGUGCUGGUGGCUUGUGUUUGUGGCUUGCCUGGCUGAUUCACGGUGCUGAGUAUGUCAAUAACAAUUAUGACAGUUUUAAUACCUAAUAAAGAUGUUUUCUUCCAAGUCCAAU